AGGUGUGUAAUUAGGUGGGUUGGGAGUGCGCACGGUUCGCAUCCGUGAGGUCAGCGGUUCGAUCCCGCUCAUCUCCAC
Molecule: transfer RNA, 78 nt
Filed under: Clostridia bacterium
Lineage: Bacteria; Bacillati; Bacillota; Clostridia
Description: tRNA-Ala
Source: RNAcentral